Molecule: non-coding RNA, 67 nt
Organism: Equus caballus (horse)
Lineage: Eukaryota; Metazoa; Chordata; Mammalia; Perissodactyla; Equidae
Source: Rfam
UCCCCAACAAUAUCCUGGUGCUGAGUGAUGACACACGCAACUCCAGCAUCAGUGAUUUUGUUGAAGA